RNAcentral lists this ribosomal RNA (610 nucleotides) under uncultured Campylobacterota bacterium. RNAcentral describes it as "bacterial SSU rRNA". It matches the Rfam family "Bacterial small subunit ribosomal RNA", at positions 128 to 758 of the family's 1533-position model. Lineage: Bacteria; Pseudomonadati; Campylobacterota. The record is from RNAcentral.
ACCUCUUAGUUCGGGAUAGCCACUGGAAACGGUGAUUAAUACCGGAUACUCCUUCUUGUCUCAAGGCAAGUCGGGAAAGUUUUUUCGCUAAGAGAUCAGUCUAUGUCCUAUCAGCUAGUUGGUGAGGUAAUGGCUCACCAAGGCUAUGACGGGUAUCUGGUUUGAGAGGAUGAUCAGACACACUGGAACUGAGACACGGUCCAGACUCCUACGGGAGGCAGCAGUGAGGAAUAUUGCACAAUGGAGGAAACUCUGAUGCAGCAACGCCGCGUGGAGGAUGACGCAUUUCGGUGUGUAAACUCCUUUUAAGAGGGAAGAUAAUGACGGUACCUCUUGAAUAAGCACCGGCUAACUCCGUGCCAGCAGCCGCGGUAAUACGGAGGGUGCAAGCGUUACUCGGAAUCACUGGGCGUAAAGGGUGCGUAGGCUGGCUUUUAAGUCAGAUGUGAAAUCCAAUGGCUUAACCAUUGAACUGCAUUUGAAACUGGGAGCCUAGAGUUCAGAAGGGGCAGAUGGAAUUAGUGGUGUAGGGGUAAAAUCCGUAGAUAUCACUAGGAAUAUCAAAAGCGAAGGCGAUCUGCUGGGAUGAUACUGACGCUGAGGCACGAAA